Molecule: ribosomal RNA, 436 nt
Filed under: Modisimus sp. MA196
Lineage: Eukaryota; Metazoa; Arthropoda; Arachnida; Araneae; Pholcidae
Description: partial 16S ribosomal RNA
Rfam family: Archaeal large subunit ribosomal RNA
Source: RNAcentral
UUUUUAAGAGAUUAAUUAAAAUUAAACCUGCUCAAUGUUCACAAUAAAUAGCUGCAGAUUUAUCUGUACUAAGGUAGCAUAAUCACUAGCUUUCUAAUUAAAAGAUAGAAUGAAUGGUUAAACGAAAUACCUACUGUAUCUUAAACUUUAAUCAACUUAAAAUAAUAAAGUAAAAAUUCUUUAAUAUAUAAGAAAGACGACAAGACCCUAACAAACUUAAUAUAUUUAACUGGGGCGGUAAAUAAAAAAAACCUUAAUCAUUACGCAUAACACAACUAAUAAUCAAUAAUUACGAUAAAGUUACUGUAGGGAUAACAGCGCUACUUUAAUUUAAAGAUCUCAUUAAAAUUAAAACUUACGACCUCGAUGUUGAAUAAUUUAACUUUUUAAUGCAACAAUUAAAAAAGCUAGUCUGUUCGACUAAUAAUAAAUUACA